RNAcentral lists this ribosomal RNA (506 nucleotides) under uncultured Glomus. RNAcentral describes it as "SSU rRNA". It matches the Rfam family "Eukaryotic small subunit ribosomal RNA", at positions 569 to 1078 of the family's 1831-position model. The record is from RNAcentral. Lineage: Eukaryota; Fungi; Glomeromycota; Glomeromycetes; Glomerales; Glomeraceae.
AGCAGCCGCGGUAAUUCCAGCUCCAAUAGCGUAUAUUAAAGUUGUUGCAGUUAAAAAGCUCGUAGUUGAAUUUCGGGGUUAGUAGGUUGGUCAUGCCUCUGGUAUGUACUGGUCUCACUGAUUCCUCCUUCCUGAUGAACCUUAAUGCCAUUAAUUUGGUGUUUUGGGGAAUUUGGACUGUUACUUUGAGAAAAUUAGAGUGUUUAAAGCAAGCUAACGCUUGAAUACAUUAGCAUGGAAUAAUGAAAUAGGACGUUCGAUCCUAUUUUGUUGGUUUCUAGGAUUGACGUAAUGAUUAAUAGGGAUAGUUGGGGGCAUUAGUAUUCAAUUGUCAGAGGUGAAAUUCUUGGAUUUAUUGAAGACUAACUACUGCGAAAGCAUUUGCCAAGGAUGUUUUCAUUAAUCAAGAACGAAAGUUAGGGGAUCGAAGACGAUCAGAUACCGUCGUAGUCUUAACCAUAAACUAUGCCGACUAGGGAUCGGAUGAUGUUAAUUUUUAAUGUACU